This is a long non-coding RNA of Saccostrea cuccullata (small rock oyster), 753 nucleotides long. RefSeq lists it as uncharacterized. Lineage: Eukaryota; Metazoa; Mollusca; Bivalvia; Ostreida; Ostreidae. The record is from RefSeq and is a predicted model, not a curated record. The transcript has 3 exons.
CAAAAACUAUCAUAUUUACAUUAAGAUACAUCAAACUAAAUACUUGAUCACAGUUAUAAAUGGAUUUCAUGCAUAGUUGAUUAAAAAAUGAAUUCAAUAUAUACUGAAACAGUCAACAGUAUCCAUUGAAAGGUGUCUGUACGUGCAGGUGAUUUUUUAAGAAGGCCCGCACUCUCCUUGAAUGUGAAUUAUAAAAUAUUGAACAUCUAGUAUCAAAGAGUAAAAAACAAUUAAAAAACCCAUGGGUUAUUUUAAUUACGAAUAGAUAUUGUGAUUUUAAAUUAUGUAAAAACAUGAAAUUCUAGUUAUCUCCCUUGGCGCUCUUUAGUAAAAGGAGUUGGAAAGAGUGUAUUUAACUCUUCAGUUUAGAAGGGGAGGAUUAAGAAAUGUGUGUGAUUUCAUCUUCAUUUUGGAAGUUUUUCCAGUUUUCAUACAUCCAAGGGGCAUUAGCUCGCUGCUGGGGAUUAGAGUAUGAUGAGUAUCUCUCCUUUCCGUCGAUACUCCCUUAGUACUGCAAUAUACACAGUCGACUGGAAGAAAUCCUCGACCUCAGCAUACAUGAAGCCAUAGCAAGAAGCAGUGAAAGCCACAGCAGAGAUUGGAUGGAGCAUAAUUUUUUCUAUGUCUCGGCGCCUCUAUGGAUGUCAUAUUUAGAUCAGAUGCAAUCUGAGCCUUGUUCUGAACUUCAAAAUCCCCUUUGACAACACCUGCACAGCUGAGGUAGUGUAAACUUAAAAAUUGAGGACAACCAAA